Non-coding RNA from Betaproteobacteria bacterium, 171 nucleotides. The record is from Rfam. NCBI's taxonomy places the organism in Bacteria, Pseudomonadati, Pseudomonadota, Betaproteobacteria.
UCGCGGGUGAGUGCAAAUCUGAAGGAAGCUGAAGGCAAAGCGCUGUCCCGAGGAACACGAAGCGGAUACAGGCGGCGUAGCGGGGCAAGACGGCCCAUAUCGUCGAAGCCCGAUACUUGCACGGAACGCUACGACGUAAAUCCGACGGGCAUAAGCGUGACGGUCGCGCGU